GUUCCUCAACAGAUGAUGAAGAGGAAGGGCCAAUGAUGUGAAGGCCCAGAUCCAUCAGAGUAUCAAUGUUCUUCCUCUCUCUCCUCCCCUCUCACUGCAGACAUGAACCACUGGCUGAGAAACAUCCUGAUUCUGACUCUCUGGCUAGAGUGUAAAGGAGAAGACAGAGUGACCCAGCCAGCAGGAGAUGUCAUUGCUGCUGAAGGAGACACAGUUACACUUGACUGUACUUUUGAGACCAGUGACACAGGUCCAACUUUGUUCUGGUACAAACAGGAUGGAAACAACAGCCCCAAAUUCAUGUUGAGCCGCUUUCAACGGGAUGAAGGGAAAACCGAGGAAGAGUUUAAGGAGAGAUUUUCAUCCACACUGGAUUCCACCUCAAGAUCAGUUCCUCUGAAGAUCCAGAAGGUUCAGCUGUCUGACUCUGCUGUGUACUACUGUAUUGUUCUCACAGACAAUUGA
This is a non-coding RNA of Micropterus dolomieu (smallmouth bass), 465 nucleotides long. NCBI's taxonomy places the organism in Eukaryota, Metazoa, Chordata, Actinopteri, Centrarchiformes, Centrarchidae. The record is from the annotation of a RefSeq genome assembly.